This 2877-nucleotide ribosomal RNA is filed under the name Klebsiella pneumoniae. RNAcentral describes it as "bacterial LSU rRNA". It matches the Rfam family "Bacterial large subunit ribosomal RNA". Lineage: Bacteria; Pseudomonadati; Pseudomonadota; Gammaproteobacteria; Enterobacterales; Enterobacteriaceae. The record is from RNAcentral.
GGGUUGUGAGGUUAAGCGACUAAGCGUACACGGUGGAUGCCCUGGCAGUCAGAGGCGAUGAAGGACGUGCUAAUCUGCGAAAAGCGUCGGUAAGGUGAUAUGAACCGUUAUAACCGGCGAUGUCCGAAUGGGGAAACCCAGUGCAAUUCGUUGCACUAUCGUUAACUGAAUACAUAGGUUAACGAGGCGAACCGGGGGAACUGAAACAUCUAAGUACCCCGAGGAAAAGAAAUCAACCGAGAUUCCCCCAGUAGCGGCGAGCGAACGGGGAGCAGCCCAGAGUCUGAAUCAGCUUGUGUGUUAGUGGAACGGUCUGGAAAGUCCGACGGUACAGGGUGAUAGUCCCGUACACCAAAAUGCACAGGCUGUGAACUCGAAGAGUAGGGCGGGACACGUGGUAUCCUGUCUGAAUAUGGGGGGACCAUCCUCCAAGGCUAAAUACUCCUGACUGACCGAUAGUGAACCAGUACCGUGAGGGAAAGGCGAAAAGAACCCCGGCGAGGGGAGUGAAAAAGAACCUGAAACCGUGUACGUACAAGCAGUGGGAGCACCUUCGGGUGUGACUGCGUACCUUUUGUAUAAUGGGUCAGCGACUUAUAUUCUGUAGCAAGGUUAACCGUAUAGGGGAGCCGCAGGGAAACCGAGUCUUAACUGGGCGUUAAGUUGCAGGGUAUAGACCCGAAACCCGGUGAUCUAGCCAUGGGCAGGUUGAAGGUUGGGUAACACUAACUGGAGGACCGAACCGACUAAUGUUGAAAAAUUAGCGGAUGACUUGUGGCUGGGGGUGAAAGGCCAAUCAAACCGGGAGAUAGCUGGUUCUCCCCGAAAGCUAUUUAGGUAGCGCCUCGUGAACUCAUCUUCGGGGGUAGAGCACUGUUUCGGCUAGGGGGUCAUCCCGACUUACCAACCCGAUGCAAACUACGAAUACCGAAGAAUGUUAUCACGGGAGACACACGGCGGGUGCUAACGUCCGUCGUGAAGAGGGAAACAACCCAGACCGCCAGCUAAGGUCCCAAAGUCAUGGUUAAGUGGGAAACGAUGUGGGAAGGCACAGACAGCCAGGAUGUUGGCUUAGAAGCAGCCAUCAUUUAAAGAAAGCGUAAUAGCUCACUGGUCGAGUCGGCCUGCGCGGAAGAUGUAACGGGGCUAAACCAUGCACCGAAGCUGCGGCAGCGACACUAUGUGUUGUUGGGUAGGGGAGCGUUCUGUAAGCCUGCGAAGGUGACCUGUGAGGGUUGCUGGAGGUAUCAGAAGUGCGAAUGCUGACAUAAGUAACGAUAAAGCGGGUGAAAAGCCCGCUCGCCGGAAGACCAAGGGUUCCUGUCCAACGUUAAUCGGGGCAGGGUGAGUCGACCCCUAAGGCGAGGCCGAAAGGCGUAGUCGAUGGGAAACAGGUUAAUAUUCCUGUACUUGGUGUUACUGCGAAGGGGGGACGGAGAAGGCUAUGUUAGCCGGGCGACGGUUGUCCCGGUUUAAGCAUGUAGGCUGAUUGUCCAGGCAAAUCCGGAUAAUCAAGGCUGAGGUGUGAUGACGAGGCACUACGGUGCUGAAGUAACAAAUGCCCUGCUUCCAGGAAAAGCCUCUAAGCAUCAGGUAACAUCAAAUCGUACCCCAAACCGACACAGGUGGUCAGGUAGAGAAUACCAAGGCGCUUGAGAGAACUCGGGUGAAGGAACUAGGCAAAAUGGUGCCGUAACUUCGGGAGAAGGCACGCUGGUGUGUAGGUGAAGUCCCUGCGGAUGGAGCUGAGACCAGUCGAAGAUACCAGCUGGCUGCAACUGUUUAUUAAAAACACAGCACUGUGCAAACACGAAAGUGGACGUAUACGGUGUGACGCCUGCCCGGUGCCGGAAGGUUAAUUGAUGGGGUUAUCCGUAAGGAGAAGCUCUUGAUCGAAGCCCCGGUAAACGGCGGCCGUAACUAUAACGGUCCUAAGGUAGCGAAAUUCCUUGUCGGGUAAGUUCCGACCUGCACGAAUGGCGUAAUGAUGGCCAGGCUGUCUCCACCCGAGACUCAGUGAAAUUGAACUCGCUGUGAAGAUGCAGUGUACCCGCGGCAAGACGGAAAGACCCCGUGAACCUUUACUAUAGCUUGACACUGAACAUUGAGCCUUGAUGUGUAGGAUAGGUGGGAGGCUUUGAAGCGUGGACGCCAGUCUGCGUGGAGCCAACCUUGAAAUACCACCCUUUAAUGUUUGAUGUUCUAACGUUGGCCCCUUAUCGGGGUUGCGGACAGUGUCUGGUGGGUAGUUUGACUGGGGCGGUCUCCUCCCAAAGCGUAACGGAGGAGCACGAAGGUUAGCUAAUCCUGGUCGGACAUCAGGAGGUUAGUGCAAUGGCAUAAGCUAGCUUGACUGCGAGCGUGACGGCGCGAGCAGGUGCGAAAGCAGGUCAUAGUGAUCCGGUGGUUCUGAAUGGAAGGGCCAUCGCUCAACGGAUAAAAGGUACUCCGGGGAUAACAGGCUGAUACCGCCCAAGAGUUCAUAUCGACGGCGGUGUUUGGCACCUCGAUGUCGGCUCAUCACAUCCUGGGGCUGAAGUAGGUCCCAAGGGUAUGGCUGUUCGCCAUUUAAAGUGGUACGCGAGCUGGGUUUAGAACGUCGUGAGACAGUUCGGUCCCUAUCUGCCGUGGGCGCUGGAGAAUUGAGGGGGGCUGCUCCUAGUACGAGAGGACCGGAGUGGACGCAUCACUGGUGUUCGGGUUGUCAUGCCAAUGGCACUGCCCGGUAGCUAAAUGCGGAAGAGAUAAGUGCUGAAAGCAUCUAAGCACGAAACUUGCCCCGAGAUGAGUUCUCCCUGAGACUUUAAGUCUCCUGAAGGAACGUUAAAGACGAUGACGUUGAUAGGCCGGGUGUGUAAGCGCAGCGAUGCGUUGGGC